RNAcentral lists this ribosomal RNA (254 nucleotides) under uncultured bacterium. RNAcentral describes it as "partial 16S ribosomal RNA". It matches the Rfam family "Bacterial small subunit ribosomal RNA", at positions 524 to 776 of the family's 1533-position model. The record is from RNAcentral.
UACGGGGGGAGCAAGCGUUGUUCGGAUUUACUGGGCGUAAAGGGCGCGUAGGCGGUCACGACAAGUCAGUUGUGAAAUCUCCGGGCUUAACUCGGAACGGUCAACUGAUACUGUCGGACUAGAGUGCAGAAGGGGCAACUGGAAUUCUCGGUGUAGCGGUGAAAUGCGUAGAUAUCGAGAGGAACACCGAUGGCGAAGGCAGGUCUCUGGGCCAUAACUGACGCUGAGAAGCGAAAGCAUGGGGAGCAAACAGG